RNAcentral lists this unclassified non-coding RNA (3589 nucleotides) under Anneissia japonica. Its description in RNAcentral is "uncharacterized LOC117113855, transcript variant X1". Lineage: Eukaryota; Metazoa; Echinodermata; Crinoidea; Comatulida; Comatulidae. The record is from RNAcentral.
AAUUAUUCGUCAGUGACACCACGAAAAGACACCAAAGCUAAAAAUCGCCAUUUUCACCUUUUUCGAUAUUGUGUUUAAUGUACACUCGCAAAAAGACAGCAUUCGGGGGCCUUUCGAGAGGCAUGCUACUAAAAGGAUCUUUCUAUGAUAAUAUGCCUAUUUCUUCCAGAUUUUGUGCCGGUCAGGUCAAGCACCCACUUCCCAGAACGCAACUCCUUAAGGCCAACUCAGACAGCGUCGGCCGACGCAGCCGACGCUGUCUGAGUUGGCCUUUAGGAAUUUUUUUUUCUUAUAAAUUUAAAAAAAAAAUUGCCAUAAUUACAUGCUAAAACCUACGAACAGUGGAAAAUAGCUUGACCAUGGUGAGUGGGCACCGCGGCUUGGGACAACGCUAAUUUCGAGUGCUGAAAGUUGAACUCAACGUACAUUUUUACCAAAAGCGAUAAAUUUACGUGACCGAUAAUGCAAGUUUAUUAAAGUAUGACUGGGCAUGCGUUAUUUAUCUCACGUAAAUAAUAUCGUUUACUGAUUUGUUUACGGCCACGUAAAUAAGCCGAUAUCCACUUCCUUAAUUUAAUAACACAACCUCGGUUGAGCCUACAUUAAGAUCGUAUGGCAGCUAUGUUCGAACGAAAGUAACAGUAGGCUAAAGCUACAGUAUACACCACUGUUCCACAACCUAUGGGUCGUGACCCAAUGUUUGGGUCGCGAAGAAAGUUUGAUGGGUCGCACAAUCGCUUCAGAUAAAAAAAAAAUUGAUGGUAACAGACGAAAGUGCCGACGAAAGAAUGUCAACAACUGAACACGUCCCAAAAAACUUCUCAAACUCGGGGGUCAUCUAAAUAUGCGGAUCGUAGUAUGUGCGAUAAUUAUGGCUCAUAUCUCAAGUCCAAAUAUCGGAACAGACUGCAUUAAUGUUCUGUCGAUAUCGAAAAGUAAAAUAUCGCACAAACGGGCCUAGGUAGGCCUACUGUAUUAAAUUUGAUGAUGAUUUUAGGUGUGAUACACGUCAUUGUACAAUGUACACUUAUUUUCAGAUUUUAAUCCCCAAAAGGGUUAUUCUGUUUCUAAAGAUGGUACAGAAUAACUUUCUUUGGUGUCAACAAGAGUUCUUGAAGAUAACACUACGUAAGAAUCGUUUUAUGUUCCGAUAAAUACUGCUAUUCCUAUUCAAAUAAAGAUUUAAUACUUGUCAGUCAUUUAAUUAUCUGUGUAAAGGUGUUUUAAAAAAAAUAAUACAUAAAUAAAAUUACUGAAAAGAAUCAAGUGCGUUAUUUCCAGCGUGAAAACUGAUAUCUCUUGCACGUGGUAAAAAUGUUAAUGGACGUCCUCGAACGUCCAUACGUUUUACUCUUAAAUGACUUCUCUUUAAAUUAAAAGACAAAAUUAUUAAAUACGGUAAUAUAAGGAAACAAUGCACUAAACGUAACGACUAAAAGCAGGCAAACCUGACCAAAAUAAUAACAUCAUAUUUGUUAUUUUGGCCGAGAUUUUUCAAGAUAAUUUGACCCGAUUUCGAUGGGUCGCGGCUGAGUGUUAAAUAUUUGGAUUUGGGCGGGUCGCGGAAGGUUGCAGAACGGUGACACAAUAUCUAGGCCUACGUUUUAACUGUUUACUAAACAAAAGGGGAAAAAUGAUAUUUUUUUUUUCUUAAAUUUUUUUCCAAUACCAUAGAAGACACGAGGGUGAGGGUUAUAAACUAAUCAUUUUUUUAAUUGGACCUUAGUUUUACAGGUGUGAAUUCAGCUAAGUAAAACUCGUCGGCUAGCUAGUAGUAUUAGUAGCCUAGAUCCGGAGGUGACGGAACUACGGGUGCUGCUUCAUGGAGUAAUGUGUGACCAGAAAUGGUCCAGUCAGUUGGAUGUUACAUGCGCCAGUGAUGUUGGAGUACAGCAACAUGAAACUAUUUAUGUAAUGCAUGAAUAAAGUUCGGGGUUUGCAUGACGUAUAAAUGUUAACUAUAUUCUAGGUAAAGGAAAAGGAAGCCGUGCACCAUUACCGCCUAUCAGAAAUGAUGGAAAUAUCGAUGUCAUGCUAUCUGCAGUUUUUAAAUGUUCUUUUUUUAUUGCUUUUAAUAUUGUGUGUUUCCGUCCAAUUUUAUUAACUUUUAAACCACAUUUCAAAGAGACAACAAACAACAUCUUAACAUUUUUAGCACUUUUAAAGUAUCUUAGCAUUCUGUUUUUAAUUGGUCCAGCAAAUCUUGAUUUUUAAAUGAUCUUUUCUGUUUAAUGUUUGUAAUUGUUUUGUAUCGCAUGCACCUCAGAGCUGUAAUGAGGUGCCACUUUUAAAAAAGUGCAGCUUAAUAAAUUAUUAUAUGAUUAUUCUAGCUUAUUUUUGUUUGUUUUUUUGUUUGCUUGCUUGCUUGCUUAUUUAUUUAUUUAUUCAUUCAUUCAUUCAUUCAUUCAUUUCAUUUAUUUAUUAUGAUUUAUUUAUUUAUUUAAAUUAUCUUGGCAACAAGAACACUUCAAAAUACAUAUGUGAAAACAUUGCCAAUAAAGGGAACAGCUAACAGGUGAAUACACCUCUGAAAGAGCCAAUCCCCUUACUGCACAUAGCAGGUAAACUGAAUGAAAAAAACUCUAAAUCAAUAUAAUAAAUAGCAAAAAAAACAACAUGUAGGCCUAUUAGUCGCCGUUUGCUUAUAUUUAAAAAAAAAAGCAAAUAACAGAUUAGCAGAUUGCACUUCUAAGUAAUCACAGUUAACCACGUAGUAUCAUCUUGCACAGGCCUACAUUACAGCAUUUCAUAGUGAAUGAUUUCACUUUUAAUUGUCUUGCAAUCGACCUAAACUUUGGUGAAUGCCUGUGAGGUUUGGGCGAUUAGCCCUCUAGGUUAAAAUGUGGACCUACCGUAUUUCAUGUAGAUAAACUGAAUAGUGGACCAUUUUACAAAAAAAUUAGGACCCAUUUUAAUGCGUAAAUCUAACUAAUAUGGACCCACAUUUUAAAAAGUGGACACAUUUAAACAAUUUUACCUAUUUCCUGCAUAAAAUCUUUUUAAAUGUGGACCCAUUUCAUGCGUAGGCCUACAAACUUAACAAUGUGGACCAUUUUAGAACCCGGACCUAUUAUACAAUGUGGGACCACGUUUUAAAAAAGUGGACCCAUUUAAAAAGAUUUACCUGCUUUUAUGUAUAACUGAAGAAAAAUUAAGCGGGACAGUCCCGACUGUUCCAAUGGCUACUACGACAUUGCGUAGACCAACUUGUUAUAGCGCCGUGGCCUGUCUCUUUUAUUUCGUUCACAUCCAAAAGCAGAAAGUACACUCGCCACUUAAUACAGGAUAGAAUGAUGCUUUAUAAACCAAAGUCUUUUAUAUGAGGCUUAGCGAGGUGGAGCUGUUUUUAGUCGUAAGGAAAAAACCCUGCAGUUACAGCGUUCGGACCCAGGAUCCAUAACUUCCAAGUUCAGUGGAGUACUAGGGUGCGCACCUAUCCCCCACCCCACCUACCCUCUCCCCCAAGAUGAAACUCCAGUCGACUUUCCCCAUCGAAGCAAGACACUACGCUCAAUUUUUCGAGCUAGCUCCCCUCCAGUUAAUCAAGGAACCUCACUUCACCUUCGCCUCCACCCCAUCAGCUUCCAUC